GGACGUUUAGCUCAGCUGGUUAGAGCGCACGAUUCACAUUCGUGAGGUCGGUGGUUCGAUCCCACCAAUGUCCACCA
This 77-nucleotide transfer RNA is filed under the name Patescibacteria group bacterium. RNAcentral describes it as "tRNA-Val". It matches the Rfam family "tRNA". Rfam says of the family: Transfer RNA (tRNA) molecules are approximately 80 nucleotides in length. Their secondary structure includes four short double-helical elements and three loops (D, anti-codon, and T loops). The record is from RNAcentral.